Long non-coding RNA from Drosophila yakuba, 449 nucleotides. RefSeq lists it as uncharacterized. The record is from RefSeq and is a predicted model, not a curated record. The transcript is spliced from 3 exons. Lineage: Eukaryota; Metazoa; Arthropoda; Insecta; Diptera; Drosophilidae.
AAACGAUCAGUUGUAAUUUUUAUCUGGAGCUCUCAAGUCAGGCCAAACAGGACUGAAAAUCUCUGAAUAAAAAUACAAUAUCCAAAUUCCAAUUAAACACCUAAAGUUUUUUCCGUUUCUUAAUCCGUGAAGCCUAGCAACAUUAUGUGCGGUUAUGGGUGCGGUCCCUAUGGCUAUGGACCCUCGGGUCCUUGCGGACCUUGGUGCGGACCCUGGUGUGGUCCUUGUGCCCUCUCGCUGGGACCCUGUAGCUACUCCUGCUGCGGCGGACCCAAAGGAUGCGGACCGAGUGGACCGGCCUGUUGGCCGUAUGGCUUGUACACCUGCUAGGCUUCAGAAGGAUGUCAGAAACGUGUGAGCCAUUCCCCAAGAAAUGUAAUACUGCUUGGACCAUGACUUUGGAUAAAAUAAUAAAAAUAAGUGCUCGUUCUUCUCAUUAAAUAUCAUAA